Molecule: long non-coding RNA, 227 nt
Filed under: Elaeis guineensis (African oil palm)
Lineage: Eukaryota; Viridiplantae; Streptophyta; Magnoliopsida; Arecales; Arecaceae
Description: long non-coding RNA (EGUI_LNC055118)
Source: RNAcentral
CUAUUAGUGACACCUAGUAGUAUGUAGUGACAAUCUAGUAGAAUUAAAAUGAACCACUAGGUGUAGUUAACGUAUAAUUCAGUCUCUCUAUUAUGAGUCCCAACUAGAUGGUAGGUCAUAGAUAAAUCGUCAAACCUCAAUAUCAGUCAUAUGAUAGAUUCGAUUAGCUCAAAUCUAGUUGUGAUUUUUAUAAAACUCUUUUCCAUCAAUCAUAUUAAUGUGGCCAC